This 264-nucleotide ribosomal RNA is filed under the name uncultured Synergistaceae bacterium. RNAcentral's name for it is "partial 16S ribosomal RNA". It matches the Rfam family "Bacterial small subunit ribosomal RNA", at positions 1123 to 1382 of the family's 1533-position model. Lineage: Bacteria; Thermotogati; Synergistota; Synergistia; Synergistales; Synergistaceae. The record is from RNAcentral.
GGUGGAAGCCGGGCGACUCUGGCGGGACGUGCCAUCGACAAGAUGGAGGAAGGUGGGGAGUGACGUCAAGUCAUCAUGGCCCUUAUGUCCAGGGCGACACACGUGCUACAAUGGCCGGCACAGCGGGAAGCGAGGCAGUGAUGCCGAGCGGAUCCCUUAAAGCCGGUCUCAGUUCGGAUUGAAGUCUGCAACUCGACUUCAUGAAGCUGGAAUCGCUAGUAAUCGCAGAUCAGCCAAGCUGCGGUGAAUACGUUCCCGGGCCUU